This is a long non-coding RNA of Pecten maximus, 628 nucleotides long. RefSeq lists it as uncharacterized. The record is from RefSeq and is a predicted model, not a curated record. The transcript is spliced from 4 exons. NCBI's taxonomy places the organism in Eukaryota, Metazoa, Mollusca, Bivalvia, Pectinida, Pectinidae.
GGAUCGCACAGAAUAUAGGUCGCGCAGGUAUUUCCCGUUAUGCAAACCACAAGAUUUGUCCAUUUUUUGACUGCAAACACACAUUUGUAACAAAGAUAAUCGGUCAUUUUGCCUUUAACAUUAUAAACAACAUUGUACGUCAAUCAUUAUCUUCCUCAUGAAUAUGCAUACCGGAUUUGCUGGUUAACCCGCUGUAGUGGUUAACGAAAAUCACCUACCGACAUUUUAUGGGGAGAGGAAGAGGGACCUCAAGAGAACAGCCACAGAUCUAGAAUAAGGAAAAAAAGCACCAUUACAUGUAGAUCAUGAGUUCAAGAAAGAAAUGAAAAGAAGAGCACUUAGUUAUCCAAAAGAGAAAUACCAGAAUAGCUCCAACACAGCUUGCAAAAAUAUGGAUAGAAAGGCAAGAGGAUCAAGAGGGCUUUAAGAUAAUUUAUAUUAACCCUGUCAAAGGAUAUGGUGUUUUUGCUACAAAAGAAUUCAAGAUGGGUGAUUUUCUGCUAGAGUAUGUUGGUGAAACUAUUGAUGAAGAAGAAGCAGUUGCAAGAGAGAAGAAAUAUGCAAGGCGACAAAAAAACGCAAAAUAUUCCAGAUGUUACACAUUCUAUUACAAACACAAUGGGAGACA